CGAAAGCCUGACGGAGCAAUACCGCGUGAGGGAGGAAGGCUCUUGGGUCGUAAACCUCUUUUYUCAGGGAAGAAGAAAGUGACGGUACCUGAGGAAUAAGCAUCGGCUAACUCCGUGCCAGCAGCCGCGGUAAUACGGAGGAUGCAAGCGUUAUCCGGAAUGAUUGGGCGUAAAGGGUCCGCAGGUGGCUAUGUAAGUCUGCUGUUAAAGAGUUUGGCUCAACCAGAUAAGAGCAGUGGAAACUACAUAGCUAGAGUGCGUUCGGGGCAGAGGGAAUUCCUGGUGUAGCGGUGAAAUGCGUAGAUAUCAGGAAGAACACCGGUGGCGAAAGCGCUCUGCUAGGCCGCAACUGACACUGAGGGACGAAAGCUAGGGGAGCGAAUGGGAUUAGAUACCCCAGUAGUCCUAGCCGUAAACGAUGGAUACUAGGCGUGGCUUGUAUCGACCCGAGCCGUGCCGUAGCUAACGCGUUAAGUAUCCCGCCUGGGGAGUACGCAGGCAACUGUGAAACUCAAAGGAAUUGACGGGGGCCCGCACAAGCGGUGGAGUAUGUGGUUUAAUUCGAUGCAACGCGAAGAACCUUACCAAGACUUGACAUGUCGUGAAUCUCUUUGAAAGGAGAGAGUGCCUUCGGGAGCGCGAACACAGGUGGUGCAUGGCUGUCGUCAGCUCGUGUCGUGAGAUGUUGGGUUAAGUCCCGCAACGAGCGCAACCCUCGUUUUUAGUUGCCAGCAUUAAGUUGGGCACUCUAGAGAGACUGCCGGUGACAAACCGGAGGAAGGUGAGGAUGACGUCAAGUCAGCAUGCCCCUUACGUCUUGGGCUACACACGUACUACAAUGCUACGGACAAAGGGCAGCUACACAGCGAUGUGAUGCUAAUCUCAUAAACCGUAGCUCAGUUCAGAUCGCAGGCUGCAACUCGCCUGCGUGAAGGAGGAAUCGCUAGUAAUUGCAGGUCAGCAUACUGCAGUGAAUUCGUUCCCGGGCCUUGUACACACCGCCCGUCACACCAUGGAAGUUGGUCACGCCCGAAGUCAUUACCCCAACCUUUUGGAGGGGGAUGCCUAAGG
Molecule: ribosomal RNA, 1071 nt
Filed under: Anabaena sp. VresL1-8
Lineage: Bacteria; Bacillati; Cyanobacteriota; Cyanophyceae; Nostocales; Nostocaceae
Description: bacterial SSU rRNA
Rfam family: Bacterial small subunit ribosomal RNA
Source: RNAcentral